This 504-nucleotide long non-coding RNA is filed under the name Olea europaea (common olive). Its description in RNAcentral is "long non-coding RNA (OEUR_LNC010259)". The record is from RNAcentral. Lineage: Eukaryota; Viridiplantae; Streptophyta; Magnoliopsida; Lamiales; Oleaceae.
GGCAGUUAUCCGUCCGGCUUGGGAGUGGAACUUGGGAUCGAGCUAUACAAGUUUUAGAUCUUGAAAACCCAAGAAACUUACACUGUUUUCCGCAUCAAGAACAUGGGCACAAAUCCUUGAGGUGCACCAAACCAAUGUCUCAAUUACCAUCAUAAUAACCAACAAGGUGUUGGCAUGAGUUGUAGGAAAUCAAAAUAGGGAAUACAAAUCAAUGUAAAUUCACCUAAUCCAGCAAUCAACCAUGCUACUGGGCAUCAAUUAUGUAUAGGCAAAAAUAGAUUGCAGAAUCUCCCUAUUUAUAUGUAUCCAACUCAAUGUAAUGGAAUAUACCGAAAAAUGAAGAAAAAGACUUACCUUUGAAACAUGGUAUCAGAGCAGAAAAUCGAUCCAGGGCACCCUCUUUAUCAAAAAUCCAUAUUCUCCUUCGUGUAAACAUUUUCUCGAACACAUGGCUAACAUAGGAGUUAUCACCAACGUAGGAGAUAAUCCACCCAACCCCGAGGC